This is a long non-coding RNA of Eptesicus fuscus (big brown bat), 811 nucleotides long. RefSeq lists it as uncharacterized. Lineage: Eukaryota; Metazoa; Chordata; Mammalia; Chiroptera; Vespertilionidae. The transcript is spliced from 4 exons. The record is from RefSeq and is a predicted model, not a curated record.
CACGCGCGCGGGCGGGAAGGAGGCGUGGGACGUGGCUGGCGGAGCCGCGGAGAGCUCGGGAGGGCGUGGCGGAGCAUUCAGUGCCCAACGACGCGGGGCGAGAGAGAGGAAGCGGCGUGGAGACCGCCACGCCAGCCGGGGCCCCGUGGAAGAAACAUAACCAUGUGGAGAGGCUGUUUAGGAAGAGAAAUACUCAGCCAACCCCUGACUUCCAGCAGAGAUGCCAGACAUGGGAGUGAAGAAGCCAUCUUGGACAUCCAUCCUGGUUGAGCCUUCAGGGCUUUAGAACUUGAACGAGACUUUCACUACCUCGAAAUUGGUGCCUGAUGACAGCACCUGAAGGGAAGACCACAAACUCCUGAUGAAGUGAUGAUUUCCCAGGUCACUUUACUGCCUCUUCUCUUGAGGCCCAGUUGUCCAGCUCUUCCUUACAUGCCCAGUAUCUUUCCAGUAUUCCAUUCUUGGCCUCAGAGGGAGGAUAGAAACAUCAAUGAUGAAAAUCAUCAAUCGGCUACCCCCUGCAUACCCAUUACCAGAGAUCAAGCCCACAACCCAGUCAUGUGUCCUGACCAGGAAUAGAACUGUGACCUCCUGGUUGAUGAGUCAACACUCAACCACUGAGCCACAUGGACUGGACACUACUAGAGAUUUUUAAUGUUCUCAUCAUAACAACAAAAAAAGGUAAUCACAUGAGGUGAAGGAUGUGUUAACUAAACUGGUAAACAUUUCAAAAUAUAUCCAUACAUCAUUACAUUUUAUACCUUAAACUUACAUUGUUAUUAUGUCAUUUUUACUCAAUAAAGCCGGAGAC